GUGAAAUUGGUAGACACGCUGCUCUGAGCAUCUCGGUUCGAGUCCGAGUAGCGGCA
Molecule: transfer RNA, 56 nt
Filed under: Stewartia pseudocamellia
Lineage: Eukaryota; Viridiplantae; Streptophyta; Magnoliopsida; Ericales; Theaceae
Also listed under: 1 other name
Description: tRNA-Leu
Source: RNAcentral